CACGUGAGCAACCUGCCCCCGACUCUGGGAUAAGCCCGGGAAACUGGGUCUAAUACCGGAUGUAACCACUGAUCGCAUGAUUGGGUGGUGGAAAGUUUUUCGGUUGGGGAUGGGCUCGCGGCCUAUCAGCUUGUUGGUGGGGUGAUGGCCUACCAAGGCGACGACGGGUAACCGGCCUGAGAGGGCGACCGGUCACACUGGGACUGAGACACGGCCCAGACUCCUACGGGAGGCAGCAGUGGGGAAUAUUGCGCAAUGGGCGGAAGCCUGACGCAGCGACGCCGCGUGAGGGAUGACGGCCUUCGGGUUGUAAACCUCUUUCAGCAGGGACGAAGCUAACGUGACGGUACCUGCAGAAGAAGCGCCGGCUAACUACGUGCCAGCAGCCGCGGUAAUACGUAGGGCGCAAGCGUUGUCCGGAAUUAUUGGGCGUAAAGAGCUCGUAGGCGGUUUGUCGCGUCUGUCG
Molecule: ribosomal RNA, 466 nt
Filed under: Actinomadura mexicana
Lineage: Bacteria; Bacillati; Actinomycetota; Actinomycetes; Streptosporangiales; Thermomonosporaceae
Description: bacterial SSU rRNA
Rfam family: Bacterial small subunit ribosomal RNA
Source: RNAcentral